CCCCGUGAACAACAGGGAGCAGAGCUCUCCAGGCUUUGGCCAGGACCCUUUCCACUACCUUGCGGCUGGAGGAGCCCACGGGGUGCACGGCAGCUCCAGGGGGUGCUGGACUCACCUGGCGAUGGCUUCUUUGUCUUCCACUGUGCCUGCUCGCUGGGCUCCAGUCCGCCCAGGUCCUGGCUGGGCAGGCAGCACCCCUCAUGCGCCAAGCCAGGCCUGUCCACUCCCUGGCUGCCUCCCCAGCUUGGGGUCCUAGAGGGCCUUCCUAUCCUCUGUGAGGCUGGGUUGCCCCUGCUCCUGCUGCCCGCCCGCUGGCUAAUUCUGAUUAUUUCUCUUUCUCCUUGCUCUCUUGGGCGCCUUUAUUCCUGACCGUGCAUUUUCUCUGGGCUCAGGAUUAAAAAAAAAAUCCACACUGCUAAUAUCCUUGUCAGCCUUUUCCUGAAUCAUUGCCGUGCAGCAAUGGAGCCACGGGCCAGUGCCUUCUGGCCAGCAGACUCCAUCCCGGGCCUUCCUGUCCUUGGGGCCCCGGAACCCCCUAUCUGGGUCCUCUUACCCUGAAGGCAACACCCAGGGGCCCAUAUCUUCUGAGAAAUGCCCAGCCAUGGGUGGCAGAUGGGGCCAAGAGCUGAGAACCGGCUGAGCUUUUCCAUCUCAUAGAUGAACAAACAGAGCCUUGGGAACUUGGUGAUGCUCAGGUUGCACAGCUACUAAGGAUCAGGACUGCAGUCUCCACAUGCAUGACUCAGGGAUGACUAGGAUGAAGUUUACCUUUGCAGAACCCACGAAGAAAAGAUGAAUACAAGCCUCCAGAAUGUGACAGGACCACAUACCUCAGCAGUUGAAAAGGAGCCUGGCUGGGAACCUGAGAGUCUCAGAAUCAUCUCACUAUUCACCAUCAUGAGGUGGGCUCCUGUCCCAUCUGGACGCUGAGGCUGAGAGGAUGAAGCGACUUGUUCAAGGACAGUUGGUGGCAGACCUGAGCUCAAGCAGACAUAUGUCUCUUCUGAACAAAGUAUGGAAGAACAAAGACAGGCAUCUUUGGAGCCACCAUGACGCGACUCUGACACCUCAAACCAUGUGCUUAUGUGUUUUUUUUUUUAAUCUGCCUGAAUCAUGGUGCCACUUCUCUAAGGUGGGACUUGUG
Molecule: long non-coding RNA, 1144 nt
Organism: Myotis daubentonii (Daubenton's bat)
Lineage: Eukaryota; Metazoa; Chordata; Mammalia; Chiroptera; Vespertilionidae
Source: RefSeq, a predicted model, not a curated record